RNAcentral lists this ribosomal RNA (301 nucleotides) under uncultured bacterium. Its description in RNAcentral is "partial 16S ribosomal RNA". It matches the Rfam family "Bacterial small subunit ribosomal RNA", at positions 509 to 807 of the family's 1533-position model. The record is from RNAcentral.
CAGCAGCCGCGGUAAGACAAAGGAUGCAAGCGUUAUCCGGAAUAAUUGGGCGUAAAGCGUCUGUAGGUGGCUUUUCAAGUCCGCCAUCAAAUCCCAGGGCUCAACCCUGGACAGGCGGUGGAAACUACCAAGUUGGAGUACGGUAGGGGCAGAGGGAAUUUCCGGUGGAGCGGUGAAAUGCGUUGAGAUCGGAAAGAACACCAACGGCGAAAGCACUUUGUUGGGCUGACAUUGACACUGAGAGACAAAAGCUAGGGGAGCAAAUGGGAUUAGAUACCCGUGUAGUCCCUGUCUCUUAUAC